GACUUUUUCCCUCCCAAAAGGCAGCAAAAAGGUUUUUGCGAAACUAUGAACAUAUCCGCUUAUGGUUUUCUUCACAUAAAUAUCCAGUUAUAAUUUUGUGCAUGCUUCGGCCAAAUGGAACAAAUAACUCCACAAUAAACUCCAAAAAUGAGCCAACAAAGAGGAACCUUUAUUUUCUGUCCUUUUUCAUAGAUGAAAACUCAUGGAGUACUAAAUGAAUCAUGUCUCGUUGCCC
This 235-nucleotide long non-coding RNA is filed under the name Capsicum annuum. RNAcentral describes it as "long non-coding RNA (CANN_LNC011273)". Lineage: Eukaryota; Viridiplantae; Streptophyta; Magnoliopsida; Solanales; Solanaceae. The record is from RNAcentral.